AAUAACACACCUCGUUUAUUCAGUUCCUUCUACGAUAAAUUGUAUCACAUCUUGAAAAACUCUACAUAAAUAAAAGCGAACAUAUAUAUUGAAGACAUGUCAAUGUUUCUUUUUUGAAAGGAAAUUUAUUUUAAGUAUAAACAAUAACAUUUUCAUUAACAAGCCUUAUUGUGUCGGUCCGACAAAAAAAAUAGUGCAUUUUAAACCGCCGAAGAAUGAAAGUGUAUUUCGUCACUUCUCAUAUUCCUAUAUGUGUAUAUAUGCCUUGUCGAUUUUUAAAAUUUUUCAAACUAAUUGCAUAAAAUACUGGUUAAUUUUUCUGUGCCAAGUUCGUUGGGGUUUAUACAAAUGACAUAUUAGGCCUAACAUAGAGAUCGAACUACUUUUUCAUAUUCAUACGCACCAUGCUACUUUGUUUUGUAAACAAAAACACGCAAAAUCGGCAGCACAACAGUGACUUCAAAGGAAAUUGACGGGACUGUGGAGGCUUACCAGGAAAUUUUUAGAAGAAGUAUAAACCACAAGGGCCAGAGCAUAAAGGUUCCUGGGAGGAUUUGUUUACGAAACCUUUUUCACUGCUUCUGGAGGUUUGUUGGUUGUUAAUUUCUCUUACCGGAGAAAUUUAACUCCAUCACUACCAUGUUGGGGGUUCCCUAAUGCCAGAUGACAUCUCCAGGACAGCAAAGAGAGGUAUACACCACAGAGGCAGAGCAUAAAGGAUGGCUGGGAGAUUUGAUAAACUUACUGUUGUAGGAGAACAAUUUCAAGCAUUGAUAUAUAUUAGAAAAUUGUGCUGUCAGUCUUUUGUAUGUUGGAGGACAAGCUUCCCCUUGAAAACUGGAACAAAUGUGAAAUGAAGAAUGUGUAUCUUCAUAUUGAGAACUUUUCCAUGUAAAUUACCUCUGGGAAAAAGUUUAUUUCAUAUCAAUUUAUUGUGUUCAUUAUCUGGUUUAAUUUUAUAUUUGUAAUUGUUUUAAAAUUGCAUGGCGCAAAACAUUUUUGCUCACCUGAGUCAAAAGCUUAAGUGAGUUUUUUGAUCCGAUUUCUUUCUUGUUA
Molecule: long non-coding RNA, 1056 nt
Organism: Saccostrea cuccullata (small rock oyster)
Lineage: Eukaryota; Metazoa; Mollusca; Bivalvia; Ostreida; Ostreidae
Exons: 3
Source: RefSeq, a predicted model, not a curated record